This 253-nucleotide ribosomal RNA is filed under the name uncultured bacterium. RNAcentral describes it as "partial 16S ribosomal RNA". It matches the Rfam family "Bacterial small subunit ribosomal RNA", at positions 524 to 776 of the family's 1533-position model. The record is from RNAcentral.
UACGGGGGGGGCAAGCGUUGUCCGGAAUUAUUGGGCGUAAAGGGCUCGUAGGCGGUUUGUCGCGUCGGGAGUGAAAACCAUGGGCUUAACUCAUGGCUUGCUUCCGAUACGGGCAGACUAGAGGUAUGCAGGGGAGAACGGAAUUCCUGGUGUAGCGGUGAAAUGCGCAGAUAUCAGGAGGAACACCGGUGGCGAAGGCGGUUCUCUGGGCAUUACCUGACGCUGAGGAGCGAAAGUGUGGGGAGCGAACAGG